This 369-nucleotide ribosomal RNA is filed under the name Triticum aestivum (bread wheat). Its description in RNAcentral is "partial small subunit ribosomal RNA". Lineage: Eukaryota; Viridiplantae; Streptophyta; Magnoliopsida; Poales; Poaceae. The record is from RNAcentral.
AUGUACUCGACGCCCAACGGGGCUCAGGGGCCAACUGAGGAAGGGGAGGCGAGCGGAGGUGAGAGCGGGGACGACCAAGGCGAGUGGGAGUCCGACGGUGAAGGAGAGGGAGACGACAAUGUCGACUCCAGCGAAGAGGAGGAGGAGGAGGUCGAACCCCCUCGCCCAGAGGGGCGGUCCAAACACACACACGACCCAGCGCGGGAACGUGGCAAGGCGACUGCUUCUGUUGGGCAGUCGUCGAAACGCCCUCGGACCUCUUCUCCUAUGCCGACUGGGAAGGUCCCCAAGCUCCCACGCACGACGCUGUCCAAGCCGCCCAAGGCUCUACCCAAGAUGAAGAUAGCUGUCCCUACCAUUUCUGGGUAA